This 68-nucleotide transfer RNA is filed under the name Rhinomuraena quaesita (ribbon moray). RNAcentral describes it as "tRNA-Ser (AGY)". The record is from RNAcentral. Lineage: Eukaryota; Metazoa; Chordata; Actinopteri; Anguilliformes; Muraenidae.
AAGGGAGACAGUGAUCUUGGGAGAGUGCUAAUUUUUCCGAGCCAUGGUUAGAGUCUAUGGGUCCCUUG